GCGCUGGUUUAGCUCAGUGGUUACUUCGAACAAAUUCUAGUUGAAUACUGCUCUCUAUCCCUCCCCGGGAUCGAACCACGGGCGCUGUCCAGUGCUUUU
Vault RNA from Larimichthys crocea (large yellow croaker), 99 nucleotides. Its record names the gene Vault. It matches the Rfam family "Vault RNA". Rfam says of the family: This family of RNAs are found as part of the enigmatic vault ribonucleoprotein complex. The complex consists of a major vault protein (MVP), two minor vault proteins (VPARP and TEP1), and several small untranslated RNA molecules. It has been suggested that the vault complex is involved in drug resistance. NCBI's taxonomy places the organism in Eukaryota, Metazoa, Chordata, Actinopteri, Sciaenidae. The record is from Ensembl.